UUUACACAUCGCAACUGGCGCUAAAGAUGGGUUUCCAUCGUGGAGCGAAGACAUUUUGGUCGUGCGCCUGGGCCAAGACU
RNAcentral lists this non-coding RNA (80 nucleotides) under Rhodoluna lacicola. Its description in RNAcentral is "ZTP sequence". It matches the Rfam family "ZMP/ZTP riboswitch aptamer (pfl RNA motif)". From Rfam's summary of the family: Previously known as pfl RNA. ZMP is also known as AICAR. The record is from Rfam by way of RNAcentral. Lineage: Bacteria; Bacillati; Actinomycetota; Actinomycetes; Micrococcales; Microbacteriaceae.